UACGAGGGGGGCGAGCGUUGUUCGGAAUUAUUGGGCGUAAAGGGCGCGUAGGCGGUUACUCAAGUCGGAUGUGAAAGCCCUCGGCUUAACUGAGGAAGUGCACCCGAAACUGAGUAGCUAGAGUACUAAAGAGGGUCGCGGAAUUCCCGGUGUAGAGGUGAAAUUCGUAGAUAUCGGGAGGAACACCGGUGGCGAAGGCGGCGACCUGGGUAGAUACUGACGCUGAGGCGCGAAAGCGUGGGGAGCAAACAGG
Molecule: ribosomal RNA, 253 nt
Filed under: uncultured bacterium
Lineage: Bacteria
Description: partial 16S ribosomal RNA
Rfam family: Bacterial small subunit ribosomal RNA
Source: RNAcentral